Molecule: ribosomal RNA, 474 nt
Filed under: uncultured soil bacterium
Lineage: Bacteria
Description: bacterial SSU rRNA
Rfam family: Bacterial small subunit ribosomal RNA
Source: RNAcentral
AGGACGAACGCUGGCGGCGUGCUUAACACAUGCAAGUCGAGCGGUAAGGCCCUUCGGGGUACACGAGCGGCGAACGGGUGAGUAACACGUGGGUGAUCUGCCCUGCACUCUGGGAUAAGCCUGGGAAACUGGGUCUAAUACUGGAUAUGACCUGUCCUCGCAUGGGGGGUGGGUGGAAAGAUUUAUCGGUGCAGGAUGGGCCCGCGGCCUAUCAGCUUGUCGGUGGGGUAAUGGCCCACCAAGGCGACGACGGGUAGCCGACCUGAGAGGGUGACCGGCCACACUGGGACUGAGACACGGCCCAGACUCCUACGGGAGGCAGCAGUGGGAAUAUUGCACAAUGGGCGAAAGCCUGAUGCAGCGACGCCGCGUGAGGAUGAAGGCCUUCGGGUUGUAAACCUCUUUCAGCAGGACGAAGCGAGAGUGACGGUACCUGCAGAAGAAGCACCGGCUAACUACGUGUCAGCAGCCGAC